CCCGCCCGGGUCCGUGGUUGCGCCGGACGACAGGUCGACUCUUCGGCCGCGUUCCGGCAAGCCGAUGCCAGCCGCAGGCGAAACGGCCCACGUAAGGCGACUUCUCGUCGACCGAUCACGGUGCGGCUUAGAAGUAAGCCCUGCCCCGCCGGAGGGUCAGAUGCCCUCCGACCCGGGAGAAGGGGAGUAGUGGCAUCCAGCAACCUUGCCGCCGCGAAACCCUCCGCAGGCGGAUGUGGGGACGAAGACCAGGUCGGCCGGGCGGG
RNAcentral lists this non-coding RNA (266 nucleotides) under Actinopolymorpha singaporensis. RNAcentral's name for it is "raiA RNA". It matches the Rfam family "raiA RNA". Lineage: Bacteria; Bacillati; Actinomycetota; Actinomycetes; Propionibacteriales; Actinopolymorphaceae. The record is from Rfam by way of RNAcentral.